GCAGUCGAACGAACUCUGGUAUUGAUUGGUGCUUGCAUCAUGAUUUACAUUUGAGUGAGUGGCGAACUGGUGAGUAACACGUGGGAAACCUGCCCAGAAGCGGGGGAUAACACCUGGAAACAGAUGCUAAUACCGCAUAACAACUUGGACCGCAUGGUCCGAGCUUGAAAGAUGGCUUCGGCUAUCACUUUUGGAUGGUCCCGCGGCGUAUUAGCUAGAUGGUGGGGUAACGGCUCACCAUGGCAAUGAUACGUAGCCGACCUGAGAGGGUAAUCGGCCACAUUGGGACUGAGACACGGCCCAAACUCCUACGGGAGGCAGCAGUAGGGAAUCUUCCACAAUGGACGAAAGUCUGAUGGAGCAACGCCGCGUGAGUGAAGAAGGGUUUCGGCUCGUAAAACUCUGUUGUUAAAGAAGAACAUAUCUGAGAGUAACUGUUCAGGUAUUGACGGUAUUUAACCAGAAAGCCACGGCUAACUACGUGCCAGCAGCCGCGGUAAUACGUAGGUGGCAAGCGUUGUCCGGAUUUAUUGGGCGUAAAGCGAGCGCAGGCGGUUUUUUAAGUCUGAUGUGAAAGCCUUCGGCUCAACCGAAGAAGUGCAUCGGAAACUGGGAAACUUGAGUGCAGAAGAGGACAGUGGAACUCCAUGUGUAGCGGUGAAAUGCGUAGAUAUAUGGAAGAACACCAGUGGCGAAGGCGGCUGUCUGGUCUGUAACUGACGCUGAGGCUCGAAAGUAUGGGUAGCAAACAGGAUUAGAUACCCUGGUAGUCCAUACCGUAAACGAUGAAUGCUAAGUGUUGGAGGGUUUCCGCCCUUCAGUGCUGCAGCUAACGCAUUAAGCAUUCCGCCUGGGGAGUACGGCCGCAAGGCUGAAACUCAAAGGAAUUGACGGGGGCCCGCACAAGCGGUGGAGCAUGUGGUUUAAUUCGAAGCUACGCGAAGAACCUUACCAGGUCUUGACAUACUAUGCAAAUCUAAGAGAUUAGACGUUCCCUUCGGGGACAUGGAUACAGGUGGUGCAUGGUUGUCGUCAGCUCGUGUCGUGAGAUGUUGGGUUAAGUCCCGCAACGAGCGCAACCCUUAUUAUCAGUUGCCAGCAUUAAGUUGGGCACUCUGGUGAGACUGCCGGUGACAAACCGGAGGAAGGUGGGGAUGACGUCAAAUCAUCAUGCCCCUUAUGACCUGGGCUACACACGUGCUACAAUGGAUGGUACAACGAGUUGCGAACUCGCGAGAGUAAGCUAAUCUCUUAAAGCCAUUCUCAGUUCGGAUUGUAGGCUGCAACUCGCCUACAUGAAGUCGGAAUCGCUAGUAAUCGCGGAUCAGCAUGCCGCGGUGAAUACGUUCCCGGGCCUUGUACACACCGCCCGUCACACCAUGAGAGUUUGUAACACCCAAAGUCGGUGGGGUAACCUUUUAGGAACCA
RNAcentral lists this ribosomal RNA (1428 nucleotides) under Lactiplantibacillus plantarum. RNAcentral's name for it is "bacterial SSU rRNA". It matches the Rfam family "Bacterial small subunit ribosomal RNA". Lineage: Bacteria; Bacillati; Bacillota; Bacilli; Lactobacillales; Lactobacillaceae. RNAcentral also lists the same sequence under 1 other name. The record is from RNAcentral.